GACAAACGCUGGCGGCGUGCCUAACACAUGCAAGUCGAGCGGGGCCGAGAGGCGGCUUGCCGCGGAUCGGCCUAGCGGCGGACGGGUGAGUAACGCGUGGGCAACCUGCCUCGAGGUAUGGGAUAACAGUUCGAAAGGGCUGCUAAUACCGUAUAUGGUCGUCAGGCCGCAUGGCAUGGCGACUAAAGGGGAGACUCGCCUCGAGAUGGGCCCGCGUCCCAUUAGCUAGUUGGCGAGGUAACGGCUCACCAAGGCGACGAUGGGUAGCCGGCCUGAGAGGGUGGCCGGCCACACUGGAACUGAGACACGGUCCAGACUCCUACGGGGGGCAGCAGUGGGGGAUCUUCCACAAUGGGCGAAAGCCUGAUGGAGCGACGCCGCGUGAGCGAAGAAGGCCUUCGGGUUGUAAAGCUCUGUCUAGAGGGACGAAGGACGUGACGGUACCUCUGGAGGAAGCCACGGCUAACUACGUGCCAGCAGCCGCGGUAAUACGUAGGUGGCGAGCGUUGUCCGGAAUUACUGGGCGUAAAGGGCGCGCAGGCGGCUCGUUAAGUUGGGCGUGAAAUCCCCUGGCUCAACUGGGGGAGGCCGUCCAAUACUGGGGGGCUUGAGUGCAGGAGAGGGAAGUGGAAUUCCCGGUGUAGCGGUGAAAUGCGUAGAUAUCGGGAAGAACACCAGUGGCGAAAGCGGCUUCCUGGACUGUAACUGAUGCUGAGGCGCGAAAGCUGGGGGAGCGAACA
RNAcentral lists this ribosomal RNA (740 nucleotides) under uncultured bacterium. Its description in RNAcentral is "bacterial SSU rRNA". It matches the Rfam family "Bacterial small subunit ribosomal RNA", at positions 28 to 774 of the family's 1533-position model. The record is from RNAcentral.